CUUAGUGGCAGACGGGUGAGUAACAUGUGGGUAUCUACCCUUUGGCCUGGAAUAACACGAGGAAACUUGUGCUAAUACCGGAUAAGUCUUUACGGAGAAAGCCUUAUGCACCAUUGGAGGAGCCCGCACUUGAUUAGUUUGUUGGUAGGGUAAUGGCCUACCAAGACUAUGAUCAAUAGCUGAUUUGAGAGGAUGAUCAGCCACAUUGGGACUGAGACACGGCCCAAACUCCUACGGGAGGCAGCAGUGGGGAAUCUUGCACAAUGGAGGAAACUCUGAUGCAGCGAUGCCGCGUGAGUGAAGAAGGCCUUUGGGUUGUAAAGCUCUUUCGUCGGGGAAGAAAAUGACUGUACCCGAAUAAGAAGGUCCGGCUAACUUCGUGCCAGCAGCCGCGGUAAUACGAAGGGACCUAGCGUA
Molecule: ribosomal RNA, 417 nt
Filed under: uncultured Pelagibacterales bacterium
Lineage: Bacteria; Pseudomonadati; Pseudomonadota; Alphaproteobacteria; Candidatus Pelagibacterales
Description: bacterial SSU rRNA
Rfam family: Bacterial small subunit ribosomal RNA
Source: RNAcentral